This 253-nucleotide ribosomal RNA is filed under the name uncultured bacterium. Its description in RNAcentral is "partial 16S ribosomal RNA". It matches the Rfam family "Bacterial small subunit ribosomal RNA", at positions 524 to 776 of the family's 1533-position model. The record is from RNAcentral.
UACAGAGACUGCAAGCGUUAUUCGGAUUCACUGGGCGUAAAGGGUGCGCAGGCGGCCAAGUGUGUGAGGCGUGAAAGCCUGGGGCUUAACUCCAGAAUUGCACCUCAAACUACAUGGCUAGAGCAUUGGAGAGGGUAGCAGAAUUCACGGUGUAGCAGUGAAAUGCGUAGAUAUCGAGAGGAACACCAGUGGCGAAGGCGAGUCCCUGGACAGGUCCUGACGCUGAGGCACGAAAGCUAGGGGAGCAAACAGG